RNAcentral lists this ribosomal RNA (448 nucleotides) under uncultured Nesterenkonia sp. RNAcentral describes it as "bacterial SSU rRNA". It matches the Rfam family "Bacterial small subunit ribosomal RNA", at positions 335 to 796 of the family's 1533-position model. The record is from RNAcentral. Lineage: Bacteria; Bacillati; Actinomycetota; Actinomycetes; Micrococcales; Micrococcaceae.
UGCCUACGGGGGGCAGCAGUGGGGAAUAUUGCACAAUGGGCGCAAGCCUGAUGCAGCGACGCCGCGUGCGGGAUGACGGCCUUCGGGUUGUAAACCGCUUUCAGCAGGGAAGAAGCUUUUGUGACGGUACCUGCAGAAGAAGCGCCGGCUAACUACGUGCCAGCAGCCGCGGUAAUACGUAGGGCGCGAGCGUUAUCCGGAAUUAUUGGGCGUAAAGAGCUCGUAGGCGGUUUGUCGCGUCUGCUGUGAAAGCCCGGGGCUUAACUCCGGGUGUGCAGUGGGUACGGGCAGACUGGAGUGCAGUAGGGGAGACUGGAAUUCCUGGUGUAGCGGUGAAAUGCGCAGAUAUCAGGAGGAACACCGAUGGCGAAGGCAGGUCUCUGGGCUGUUACUGACGCUGAGGAGCGAAAGCAUGGGGAGCGAACAGGAUUAGAUACCCCUGUAGUCG